CAUUCACACACACAGGUGCACACACACAGGUGCAUUCACAGAUGCAUGCAGGUGCACACAUGCACACACACAGGCUUGGUUUGCCUGCCCCUGUCCCGCAUUCAGCUUGUGUGUGUGUCUGUCCUCACAUUUGCAGUGUCCCUCGUAAGCAGCAUAUGGUUUUGUUUUAUCCAACUGCCGACGUUUACCUUUAACGGAGUAUUCAGUGGGUUCCCGUUCAGUGCGCUUACGGACAGAUGUCAGUUUGAACCAACUAUGUUAAAUGUGCCUGGUUCCAUCUGCUCUGUGCUCCCUUUUCUCUCCUUUCGUGUCGUCUUCAGGGUCCGGUAAUUUUGGUGCCGUCCUCGCCGGGCAUGCUUAGUUGCGUGGUCCUGGCCCGUCGUUGGCUCCACCCCCGGAAGCGGUGAGGUAUGUCCCGCUUCGACCACGCUGAACGAGGCAGCGGUUCGCUCCUGGGGGUCUCCCCUCCAGCAUCGCCUCCUUCUCGAAGGGCCCUCGCCAUCGUUCCCGUCCCAUCAGGGCGGGUCCUCCGAUGGCCUCGCUCGGAAGGGGGUUUCCGCUGACGCACACAGGCCAUCUUUACGUCGUCCUGAGGCCUCUUUCUGGCGUCUGUCUUCCGUGCGGAGGAGUGAGGUCCUGUUGGUCGGUGGAGCGAAGGGCUCCUUCGGCCUCAGAAAACCCUUCGCCGUGACGCCUCCAGGUGCUCUCCCGCCGGCGCCCCCGCCCCUGCCCCGGCCCGCGGCCUCCACGCAGACCUCUCUCGCUCCCCUCCCGGUCUCGUCUGCCGAAACUCACGCGGCCUCCUCGGGUCCAGUGGCCGCGCCCCUCCAUCCCAGAACGGAACCGGGUUCUUUCCAGGGUCCCGGCUCCCUGCACUCACCCCCACCUUCCCUUUGCUGGAGCACUGUCGUGAUGCAAGCUCCCACCCUGGCUGGCUCUCCUGGGGGCCUGUCUCACCUCUGCUCUCCUGCCUGCAUUCCGGUCCGUUCUGGCCAUUUUGUUCACUUGCUCAGCCUAAAUCGUAGGCCCUCGGUGAGCUCACCUUCCUCAGGGAGCGGCUUCUUCUGCCUCUAGCAGUCCUCAGGGAAAACCCUCUAGCAGUCUCAGCCCCGCCCGGCGGCCUGUCUCUGACCCCGCCCUUGCUCUGGGCUGCAGCCCCUCACUGGGGGGGCCCCGGUCGGCCACCCUUUAGUUGUCACUGCCUGGGGCUGGGGGCCCCGGCCCUCUGGGCUUCUGUCCUGCUAGCCCCCAACAGCCGCCCUGUCGUUUUCUUCUAUUUCAUUCAGCAGUUGAAGAAUUUGGCAGAGUCGUCCCACGUCCCUCGGAAGGAACCUGUGAGGUGCUAAGACUUCAGCCCCGGGGCAAUUGGGCCAAGGGAGGACUCCACGCAGCCGUGGGAGGGGAGGGGCCGUCCCCCCACACGCCGCCCUUCAGCCCCGCUGUCCUUGAAGCCCUGGGCCCUGAGGCUUUGGGCCAACUAGGGAUCAAACCGCCACAGGUGCCGUCGGGCCCCAUACGCCUGGAAGGGGUGUCCUUCCUCCAGGAGGGCACGGGUCACCACAGAGGACAGUGCCGGGGACCCACCCCAGCCCAGGGCCGCCUGGAGCACACUCACCUGGUGGUCCUGGUGGGCCCACUUCUCCUUUGUCACCCUUCGGUCCAGGAGGCCCCUGGUACCCUGGAGGGACAGAGACCCAGGAGUGCCCAUCAUCGAGCUGUGACAGGGCCCUUGGGCCAUGCCCCUGUGCCCCCGCUCACCCCCAGCCCUUGUGAGUGCUGCGUGGCACUAGCCUGGACGGGGGAGGGCACCACACGAGUUUGGGAGCCUUCAGAGCAAGAGCUUCGUUGAGCAGAAGCACUCGGGGGUCCCACCCAAGGGGCUGCCCCUGGAGGCCACACCACUCCCGUGGGGCGGGCGCGGGCUGACAGAGCAGGCCCGGGCAGGGGGCAGAUCUAAAUUCCGCACGCAAGUGGGUGUCUACUCAGUGUCCGGGACUGUCCCCCCGCGAGGCUGCCAGGACGGCCUGCUGGGACGACCCGGGAGGCCCCGCGAGGGGCCCGUGAUCACUCUGGGAGCAGGGGACAUGGGCCGAUGAGGCAUUCCUGCUUCCCCCUGGAGCCCAGGCUCACAGGAUGAAGUCCUGCUGCAUCCAGCAUCCCCAAGAGAAGCCAACCGCCCCAGCCACCGCGAGGCCCCAGGGGCCCUCACCUGGCAAUCCUGGAGGUCCAGGGCGGCCAGACUCCAUGAAGGGCCUGCAAAGAAGCUGGCCGGACCACACGGCUCGAGGUUCAGGCUCCCAGAUGCAGAGAGCCCUCACUUCCCCAGAAAGAGAAGAGACAGCCACCCAGGCGGGGUGCAAAGCACUCAUUCUGGCAGUGACCUGCUUACUGGACAAAGCACCAGCCUGUGUAACUCACGCUGCGUCAGGAGCGAGACCAGGGCCAGUGAGGUCGUGCGAACCUCAGGACCCGGCCCCGCCUGCCCUGCGGUCGCCUCCUUGCAGUGCCCCACUGAGGCCAAGGACAGAGGGACUGGAGGCAGCACAGAGGUGGGGUGUCGGGCCCCCAGAGGAGCCGCUGGAGGCGGAGCCCUGUCCCAGCAGACUCCGCGGGGCACACAUGCGCCCUUAGGUCAGAACUGACUCGCUGUCCGCCCUUAGGUCAGAAGUGCGGAAAGGAUCCCGGCGCCUGUCUUGCUUGUCGAGGCCCGCGACCCGUCUUUCUGUCACUACUUCAGAUCGCCGCGAGAUGUCACCUCCUGCCUCUUGAUUUUUCACGAGGCAGCAGCCACGUUUAGGCCACGGGAGGAAGGAGCCACGAUGAAGAACCAGCAGUGAUGGCAAAAGCAGAAAAGUGGGGACCGUCUGACACACUGGCCUCGGGACCCCACGCCCCGGCCCGGGCCGCGGGAGCAAAGUCACCGAGUGCACCUGGCAGCUGGCUGGGUGCCCGGCCGCGGGACUGGGAGCAGGUCCCGUGUCUGGAGGCCCCCUCUUAGGGAGAAACGGAUAAAAACACCCAGGCUACCAACAUAAACCCUGCUCAGAAGCCGGUGAGGCGCUGAGAGUCAGGCUGUGGUGCUGAGUGAGGGGCCCCACCGGGGGCAGGGGUCACGCCCGGGACCCACGCGGCCGUGCCCUUCCAGAAGAGCCACUCGGGGUCCCUGUCCCCGCAGCUCAGCUGGAGUGUGCGCGCACAUGUGUGGGGUCCUUGUGCCAGAGGACCGGCCCGGCGUGGUCACGGCGCAGGGCCCUCCCCACGCCCCUGGGCGUCCCAGCCACGCCGUCCGCCCCUUGGGGGACACUCACCCUCACACCAAAGCCGACGCUGCCAUGUCCUGGCUCCCCUUUCUCGCCUUUCAGUCCGUUC
Long non-coding RNA from Lynx canadensis (Canada lynx), 3369 nucleotides. RefSeq lists it as uncharacterized. The record is from RefSeq and is a predicted model, not a curated record. NCBI's taxonomy places the organism in Eukaryota, Metazoa, Chordata, Mammalia, Carnivora, Felidae. The transcript has 3 exons.